UAGGGAAUCUUCCACAAUGGGCGCAAGCCUGAUGGAGCAACACCGCGUGAGUGAAGAAGGGUUUCGGCUCGUAAAACUCUGUUGGUAGAGAAGAACGUUGGUGAGAGUGGAAAGCUCAUCAAGUGACGGUAACUACCCAGAAAGGGACGGCUAACUACGUGCCAA
RNAcentral lists this ribosomal RNA (165 nucleotides) under uncultured bacterium. Its description in RNAcentral is "partial 16S ribosomal RNA". It matches the Rfam family "Bacterial small subunit ribosomal RNA", at positions 355 to 511 of the family's 1533-position model. The record is from RNAcentral.